AGCAGCACCAGAAGGGAGUCAGGUGGGAAUAGCAGCCCACUAUUAAGUACAGCCACGAGGUUUACCAGUGCUCUACAUGCUUUUGCUGCAAGGCACACUGAAACGGAGGAAGUUGCUUGAAUGAGUUACUACAAGAAUGGGAAGAGUAAAGACGAAGCAGCAGAAAAACCCACGGGGAGUGGCAGGCUCUGACCAUUUUAUUUAAGAUGCACAGUAAGGACCAGCUAAAGGCACAGGAGGACUGUUGGGUUAGACAAACCUAGGCUGCACACAUAAAGAGUUACGGUGUUCAUGGUCUCUUCUUACUCCUAUGUAUGUAUCACAUGAAGAAAUUGAUUCUAACAUUAGAAAAACACACAAAGGGAAAGGGCGGAGAGGAAAAACUAGAAGUGUUGCUGGUGGGAGUAAGAAAGGCUCUACAGACAGGCUGUGGAGUGUCCUUGCAGUCACAGUAGACACUUCCCGGAGAAGAAAGAGAAGUUGUCAGUGGUAUUUCAGAGUGAGAGAUCACAGCUCCAGGGGCAGGGUAGCAGGACAGAUGGUCAGGGACGGACACAAGUCACACAUGCUCAGGGCUUCACGGAGGGCACUUCAGCAGGUGCACAGGGAUGUGACAGGAAGAACUAAGGAACGGGACAAAGAAAGGAGACAGAAAUCGAAGACUGCCUGCUCAUUUGACCCUGCAUGCCUCAAGCAUGUGUCUUCAAACUCUCCAGGCUGCAAGCAUGCAUUUUCAGAGAUGUCUGCACAACAACACAUCUAUCUGUUGCAAAGCAGAGGGAAGCUGAAACGGAAACACGGGCAAACAGCAGGAGCGCAAACGAGAGGCUGUUUUCAGACAUGGGUCUAGCUCCACUGCACCGGCAUCUGCCACGGCCAAGGAGGAAGGAUUUGUAUAUUGCUUCAGGACGAAGGUGGAGAAACGUCACACGAUCUUUAGUUUGAGAUUUUCCUUGGCUGCGGCAAAGGGUGGAUCCAAGCACAGUGGAAGGAGAUGAAUCAAGGAGGCAGUCGCUGUUUUUACGGAGGAACAGUACUGGGGAUGUUUGGGUUACCCUGGAAGCACGGAAAGCCAACCGGAAUGAGAAAUUUAAAACACGGCUAGAAUAUCUGUAGCUCGGUUGAUUGGGUGCGUGAAGAAGGACUUGGCUUUGAUUCCUAGCACUCCAUAAGACAGGAUUCAGUGAUCUCAACACCUUGAGAGGAAGAGGCAGAAGGAUCAAAAUUUCAAGACCAUCAAGAUUCGUAGUUACUGCCAGGUCAGCGUAGGAAAUGUGAUUAACCGUGUAGGAAAAUAUGGUUUCAACUACACCAAAGCAAACAUAAAAGCCCCCAAACUUGCAGAUAGAAAAAUAUUAGGUACCUGCUAAGAGAAAAGGAGGACUCCAGAAUGACUUCUAAACUUUGGGUAUCACCAGUGCACCGUGUCUCUUUGUAGACUGGAAGGAAAGACGGUCUUCUAAACAUCUGUGUUUGCAAGAAGCUGGACAUCUCCACAUAGAGACACAGCGACCUGAGGUUGAUAGAUAUAUAAAGUGAGUGCUCAGGGAAGACGUCCAGGCCAGGGCACAAAUCAGGCAAUUUAGUAAGUACCUCUUCUGCUGAACACCCUCAAAGGUUUUCCACUGCUGAGAAUGCAGCUUGAGGUCUCUACAAUGUCACUGAAAGCCUUCUCCCAUCGUAUCUUUCCCGUGUGGGCUUAGUGAAAUGUGAAAUGAUUUCUCCAGGAUUCUGAUGUGAAUGAAAUGACAUGUAAAACAGUAAGGACAAAGCAAGGUGUUGUGUUCUGUGUGCGAAUCUUUCCCUUCCAGAACAGGGUACUCUCUGAGUGCUCAUGCUGUUGUUACAUUGGUAUUAACUGAGUAGACUACAAUGACUCCUGCUUCAUUAUGGUUACUUCCAUUUACUAGAACAAACAGCCAUCACGGACCAAAUAGUUACUACUAGGGUCCUGAUACCUUAAGCCUAGUCCCCAGAGCCCAUAGUACUCGACACAUGGUUAAUAAACACAACCUCCUACAUGCAUAUGAGGCUGAGAGAAUAAGUUACACAUUUGUGCAUGGGCGACCCUAUAAAUCAAUGGAGCUAAACUUUCGGCUAUUAUUGAACAGGAGCUGAGGUGUUCACAACAGAGCAAGCUAAACAUCCCAAUGUGAUGCGAAUCAUCUCAGAAGAGAUGAAUUGAGGUGUCUAGCAGGUCCUGUGUUUUGGCAGUAGUGAAUUUGAGUUCGUCUACCUUGAAAGCAAGGAAGGGGUGGAAAUCAGGGGCUACAGUAGGAAGAAGAAAUGGGAAACCACUUUCCUCCCAUGUCAUUACCAAAACAAACGGGCACUAUUUUCUUUCCGCUUCUAGCAUACUUGGGCUUCUCCUUGGAGAUCGCUUUCCCUCUUGAAGGCUGUCUUGGAAGUGGAGCUUCAACUGAUUUUUAUUUCUGUUAGCAAUAACUCUUGGAGUCGGGGAGUACAUUUCAUGAUGUGUUGUGGCUGGGCACCUCAUUCCCCGGGGGAAUAACGUCGCCUACACAUGAAACCUGUUUCAAUUCUGCCUGGCUCUUCAAGAGAAAUUGUGAUUAUUUCUAGAACCAACGUGGUUCCUCGUUAGGUCCAAGAUCUCUGAGGCUUGUUGUUUCUUGGGUGUAAACUAUUCUGAACAGCGCGGAAAGUCCAGAAGACUCAGAGGUCUUAGGAUGGCCUUGCCAUUCAAAAUGCGAGCCUGGCCUAGUCGGGGGAAACCUAGUGUAUCACGAGGGAAAAAGACACGAACAGAGCAGCUUAAGCUUAUGCUUCCAGAGUGUUUUCUGGUGGUAUUGAAAAGGAGCAGUUGUGAGAGCUUGGGCUGUAGACUCAAGUGCUGCCAGGGGCCAAAAAGGUGAAGUGACCAGGAGAAGCUGGCCAGGCGCUAGACAAUAGAGCAGUGCAGCCAGCCAUGGCAACUGCACAGUGUCACAUGCCCUGUUUAACCUAAAACCAUGCACAGUAAUUAGUAAACAAACCACACAAGUGAGCUUCCAGGGAUGAACAACAGAUGCUGUUACUGUUCACUUACAGAACUUCAAGGUCUCAUCUUCUCCACACAGCAUUGUGUAGAGCUUUCCAUCGGUUGCAGGGCUCUGCUUGACCUGGGACGUCCCUGAUCAUGCCUCGGAUCAACACCUCCUGUUCCCAGCCAGGGUAAAGUCUCAGAACCUGCUAAUUUUGAUCUCAGGCCUUGGUUCUUAUUGCGUCUUCUCUCUGGAAUAAGCUUCCUUCAGAGUGAAUGUGUACUCUAUCAGUUUGUCCCAGUGUCUGUAUAAGGGGAUCCUUGUUAAAAGUGUUAUGCUGCUUUUUUUUCUUUAUCCAACUUUCCACUCACUCUAUCCCAUCUUAUCUUUUGGUGUAUGUAUGAGGGUAUGUGUGUGGUUGUGCAUGUUAUAUAAGAAAAAGAAAUCUGUUUAGUACCCAUCAGGGAUGCCAAUGGACUUCAAGUAGCCAGUAGUUACAUUAUUUCCUACUAAACACAGUCGGUUGAACUACUUUUCUUUGAAUCUGCAUGCAUUCUUGGGCAUAUUUUCUUAUAUUCCAGGCCACCUUCUUUAAAUAACACAACAUCAUUUCAGAAAAUAUGUAGCUCUGUCUCCUGAACUGCCAGUCUAGGUCUGACUGAAGGGAGUAAGCCACAAUAUGGAGCAGAUGUGGCUAACUGUCCUUACUUGCCUGAUCUUGCCACAUCCUACCUCUUUGUGGUUCCUCACUCAGCAUUGUCCUGUUCUGUCUCUGGCUCUCCAGGGGCCAAUGUAAACUGGAGGAUAUUUUCACCGGGUAUGGCUGGUGCUCAGUAUUAACUAGUAAUUUCAUGGAGACAUUUUAUGGAUUCUGCAGAAAUCCGCCAUUUUGGGGAGACUCUUACUGGACUAAUGAGUUCUGAACGCAGCCUCGCAGAGUUGUAGACGUUCAGUCCUCCCUACAACCCCUUUUGUAACUUUCUUAAAUUGAAUAGAGAUUGGCUGCCAUCUCUGGGGCAAAUUAGUGCAGCAGAACCACCCUUAAUUCUUACCCUUUGCUGCCUUCCUUCUCCUCAUCCACCUUCAGCAAGACAACAUCCAUCCGUCUCCAAAGAGACCAACCCCCUUCCUACUCUGCUGAACUUCCUCUCUCCUUUAGACUUCUUGGGUCUUAUCUCAAACUAUGGGGGACAAGGGUCAGGCCCAUCAAGGUGUCUGGGAGUUCUUUCAUUUGGUUGCAUCUACACCCACCUCUAUGAAGCCCUGUUUCUAGAAAUCUCUUGACUUACGUAUGUUUCAGAGCAUAGUUACUAAUCAGUUUCACAUCCUUUCCAAAUGUUCUGCAUGCAUCAUUUAACACCUUCUGCAAAACUGAUUAAAUCUCUAUGAGAAAGAGAGUGCCAUUACAUCACAAACAUAUUUCAUGUAUAAUUUAUAUAUUUAUAUAACAUUAAAAAGGUGGUAUUUUUCAUUUCUUUUGUGACUAAACCUCUGUAACUCAGAAAUGCAAACUGGCUCCUCCACUCUUUAAAAAUGUACUGUUGGAAUAAAAAACAAUCAUGUAAAAUA
Mesocricetus auratus (golden hamster) is the source of this 4550-nucleotide long non-coding RNA. RefSeq lists it as uncharacterized. The record is from RefSeq and is a predicted model, not a curated record. Lineage: Eukaryota; Metazoa; Chordata; Mammalia; Rodentia; Cricetidae. The transcript is spliced from 4 exons.